AACGCGAAGAACCUUACCUGGGCUCGAAGCGCAGUGGACUGGGGUGGAAACAUCCCUUUCUCGCAAGAGACUGCUGCGGAGGUGCUGCAUGGCUGUCGUCAGCUCGUGUCGUGAGAUGUUGGGUUAAGUCCCGCAACGAGCGCAACCCUUAUCGUUAGUUGCCAGCGAGUCAAGUCGGGCACUCUAGCGAAACCGCCUCGGAUAACGGGGAGGAAGGUGGGGAUGACGUCAAGUCCUCAUGGCCUUUAUGUCCAGGGCUACACACGUGCUACAAUGGCCGGUACAAACCGUCGCAAACUCGCGAGAGGGAGCUAAUCGGAAAAAGCCGGCCUCAGUUCGGAUUGGAGUCUGCAACUCGACUCCAUGAAGCUGGAAUCGCUAGUAAUCGCGGAUCAGCACGCCGCGGUGAAUACGUUCCCGGGCCUUGUA
Molecule: ribosomal RNA, 429 nt
Filed under: uncultured Acidobacterium sp.
Lineage: Bacteria; Pseudomonadati; Acidobacteriota; Terriglobia; Terriglobales; Acidobacteriaceae
Description: bacterial SSU rRNA
Rfam family: Bacterial small subunit ribosomal RNA
Source: RNAcentral